Molecule: ribosomal RNA, 497 nt
Filed under: uncultured Staphylococcus sp.
Lineage: Bacteria; Bacillati; Bacillota; Bacilli; Caryophanales; Staphylococcaceae
Description: bacterial SSU rRNA
Rfam family: Bacterial small subunit ribosomal RNA
Source: RNAcentral
AGCAACGCCGCGUGAGUGAUGAAGGUCUUCGGAUCGUAAAACUCUGUUAUUAGGGAAGAACAUAUGUGUAAGUAACUGUGCACAUCUUGACGGUACCUAAUCAGAAAGCCACGGCUAACUACGUGCCAGCAGCCGCGGUAAUACGUAGGUGGCAAGCGUUAUCCGGAAUUAUUGGGCGUAAAGCGCGCGUAGGCGGUUUUUUAAGUCUGAUGUGAAAGCCCACGGCUCAACCGUGGAGGGUCAUUGGAAACUGGAAAACUUGAGUGCAGAGGAGGAAAGUGGAAUUCCAUGUGUAGCGGUGAAAUGCGCAGAGAUAUGGAGGAACACCAGUGGCGAAGGCGACUUUCUGGUCUGUAACUGACGCUGAUGUGCGAAAGCGUGGGGAUCAAACAGGAUUAGAUACCCUGGUAGUCCACGCCGUAAACGAUGAGUGCUAAGUGUUAGGGGGUUUCCGCCCCUUAGUGCUGCAGCUAACGCAUUAAGCACUCCGCCUGGGG